RNAcentral lists this ribosomal RNA (393 nucleotides) under uncultured bacterium. Its description in RNAcentral is "partial 16S ribosomal RNA". It matches the Rfam family "Bacterial small subunit ribosomal RNA", at positions 523 to 918 of the family's 1533-position model. The record is from RNAcentral.
AUACGGACGGUCCGGGCGUUAUCCGGAUUUAUUGGGUUUAAAGGGAGCGUAGGUAGACAGUUAAGUCAGUUGUGAAAGUUUGCGGCUCGACCGUAAAAUUGCAGUUGAUACUGGCUGUCUUGAGUACAGUAGAGGUGGGCGGCAUUCGGGGUGUAGGGGUGAAAUGCUUAGAUAUCUCGAAGAACUCCGGUUGCGAAGGCAGCUCACUGGACUGCAACUGACACUGAUGCUCGAAAGUGUGGGUAUCAAACAGGAUUAGAUACCCUGGUAGUCCACACAGUAAACGAUGAAUACUCGCUGUUUGCGAUAUACAGUAAGCGGCCAAGCGAAAGCAUUAAGUAUUCCACCUGGGGAGUACGCCGGCAACGGUGAAACUCAAAGGAAUUGGCGGGG